Molecule: long non-coding RNA, 836 nt
Organism: Bos taurus (domestic cattle)
Lineage: Eukaryota; Metazoa; Chordata; Mammalia; Artiodactyla; Bovidae
Source: Ensembl
CUUAUGUCUCCUGCAUUGGCAGGUGGAUUCUUUACCACUAGUGCCACCUGGAAACCUGGCCUCCUCCUUGGGCUUGAUUACUACAAGCCCAAGUUUUGCUACAGAAGCUCGAAGAACUCGGGAAACCCUUUGACUCCUGAGCUCACUGGUUUAUUAUGAAAGAGCAUCACACAGGAACAGCCCAGGGCAAGGAAACAGAGAACAUCAUACCCGCUCUGUGAGUCUUACGGAAAUUCUAGAGCCUCCAACAGGUUCAUGGCGGUGAAAUUAGUUAAAUGGUUUCAAAGAAAGAACAAGUCCUGCUACUUUAUGGAGGAGCUGCUGAAGAACUUUGGCCACUGUGCUCUCAAGCAGAAUGACUUCUCCAGAGACUCACUGAGAGGACCUGCCAGCAGGUGCAUGAACCCUUGUUGAGGGCACUGGCUUUACCAUGAGAGGACUUGACUCAAGACCAGUUCUGCCACAUUCCAGGCGAGUGACUUGGGCCUCACAUUUCCUCAUCUGUAGAAUGGGAAUAACAACAACACCUCCUAAAAAGGUUUGUUGUGAGGAUCAAAUCAGUGAAUUCACCUGUUCUAGUUACUUCAUCAGAGAAGGCAAUGGCACCCCACUCCAGUACUCUUGCCUGGAAAAUCCCAUGGAUGGAGGAGCCCGGUGGGCUGCAGUCCAUGGGAUCCCUAAGAGUUGGACACAACUGAGUGACUUCAUUACCAUCACUGGAGAUGAGGCCAUGCAUGAUAUUUGAAUCGUAAAUAAAAUUUAUAUGCCUCAGUCUGCAUUUGUAACAUUGAACAUGGCUGCAAGCAUUUGACACCUUAUUAUAUGCUUUCUAAUGU